UGCCUUGAGUUGACAAAGAAGGGUGGU
This 27-nucleotide non-coding RNA is filed under the name Homo sapiens (human). The record is from RNAcentral. Lineage: Eukaryota; Metazoa; Chordata; Mammalia; Primates; Hominidae.